Molecule: ribosomal RNA, 898 nt
Filed under: Leptographium latens
Lineage: Eukaryota; Fungi; Ascomycota; Sordariomycetes; Ophiostomatales; Ophiostomataceae
Description: LSU rRNA
Rfam family: Eukaryotic large subunit ribosomal RNA
Source: RNAcentral
GCAUAUCAAUAAGCGGAGGAAAAGAAACCACAGGGAUUGCCCCAGUAACGGCGAGUGAAGCGGCAACAGCUCAGAUUUGGAAUCUGGCCCCCAGGGCCCGAGUUGUAAUCUGGAGAGGAUGCUUCUGGCGCGGCGCCUUCCGAGUUCCCUGGAACGGGACGCCGGAGAGGGUGAGAGCCCCGUACGGUUGGACGCCUAGCCUUUGUGAAGCUCCUUCGACGAGUCGAGUAGUUUGGGAAUGCUGCUCAAAAUGGGAGGUAAAUUUCUUCUAAAGCUAAAUACCGGCCAGAGACCGAUAGCGCACAAGUAGAGUGAUCGAAAGAUGAAAAGCACUUUGAAAAGAGGGUCAAACAGUACGUGAAAUUGUUGAAAGGGAAGCGCCCGUGGCCAGACUUGUGCCCCGCGGACCACCCGGCGCCCUCAGCGCCGGUGCACUCCGCGGGGCGCAGGCCAGCAUCGGUUUUCCUAGGGGGAUAAAGGCGGCGGGAACGUGGCUCCUUCGGGAGUGUUAUAGCCCGUCGUGCCAUGCCCCUGGGGGGACCGAGGACCGCGCUUCGGCAAGGAUGCUGGCGUAAUGGCCACCGGCGACCCGUCUUGAAACACGGACCAAGGAGUCAAGCAUUGGGGCGAGUGUCUGGGUGCCAAACCCGCACGCGAAAUGAAAGUGAACGCAGGUGAGAGCUUCGGCGCAUCAUCGACCGAUCCUGAUGUUCUCGGAUGGAUUUGAGUAAGAGCCUUACCGCUUGGACCCGAAAGAUGGUGAACUAUGCCUGUAUAGGGUGAAGCCAGAGGAAACUCUGGUGGAGGCUCGCAGCGGUUCUGACGUGCAAAUCGAUCGUCAAAUAUGGGCAUGGGGGCGAAAGACUAAUCGAACCAUCUAGUAGCUGGUUACCGCCGA